CAGUCGCCACGGUAAUACGAAGGGUGCAAGCGUUAAUCGGAAUUACUGGGCGUAAAGCGUGCGUAGGCGGACUUUUAAGUCAGAGGUGAAAUCCCAAGGCUCAACCUUGGAACUGCCUUUGAUACUGGAAAUCUUGAGUCCGGGAGAGGUGAGUGGAACUGCGAGUGUAGAGGUGAAAUUCGUAGAUAUUCGCAAGAACACCAGUGGCGAAGGCGGCUCACUGGCCCGGUACUGACGCUGAGGCGCGAAAGCGUGGGGAGCAAACAGGAUUAGAUACCCCCGUAGUCCCUGUCUCUUAUAC
RNAcentral lists this ribosomal RNA (301 nucleotides) under uncultured bacterium. RNAcentral describes it as "partial 16S ribosomal RNA". It matches the Rfam family "Bacterial small subunit ribosomal RNA", at positions 509 to 807 of the family's 1533-position model. The record is from RNAcentral.